Molecule: ribosomal RNA, 1498 nt
Filed under: Synedropsis cf. recta
Lineage: Eukaryota; Bacillariophyta; Fragilariophyceae; Fragilariales; Fragilariaceae
Description: Bacterial small subunit ribosomal RNA
Rfam family: Bacterial small subunit ribosomal RNA
Source: RNAcentral
AAUGAGAGUUUGAUCCUGGCUCAGGAUGAACGCUGGCGGUAUGCCUUAUACAUGCAAGUCGUACGAGAGUUUUUAACUCAAGUGGCGGACGGGUGAGUAACACGUAAGAAUUUGCCUUUAGGAGGGGGACAACAACUGGAAACGGUUGCUAAUACCCCAUAUGCUUUCGAGUGAAAUGGAUUUCCGCCUAAAGAGAAGCUUGCGGCUGAUUAGCUUGUUGGUAGGGUAAUAGCCUACCAAGGCGACGAUCAGUAUCUGGUUUGAGAGGACGAUCAGACACACUGGAACUGAGACACGGUCCAGACUCCUACGGGAGGCAGCAGUGGGGAAUAUUGCACAAUGGAGGAAACUCUGAUGCAGCCAUGCCGCGUGUGUGAAGAAGGCCUUCGGGUUGUAAAGCACUUUCAGUUGUGAGGAAAGGUGAGUAGUUAAUACCUGCUUGCUGUGACGUUAACAACAGAAGAAGCACCGGCUAACUCCGUGCCAGCAGCCGCGGUAAUACGGAGGGUGCAAGCGUUAAUCGGAAUUACUGGGCGUAAAGCGCACGCAGGCGGUCUGUUAAGCUAGAUGUGAAAGCCCCGCGCUCAACGUGGGAUGGUCAUUUAGAACUGGCAGACUAGAGUUUUGGAGAGGAGAGUGGAAUUCCAGGUGUAGCGGUGAAAUGCGUAGAUAUCUGGAGGAACAUCAGUGGCGAAGGCGACUCUCUGGUCAAUAACUGACGCUCAUGUGCGAAAGUGUGGGUAGCGAACGGGAUUAGAUACCCCGGUAGUCCACACCGUAAACGCUGUCUACUAACUGUUUGUGGAUUUAAUCCGUGAGUAGUGAAGCUAACGCGAUAAGUAGACCGCCUGGGGAGUACGGCCGCAAGGUUAAAACUCAAAUGAAUUGACGGGGGCCCGCACAAGCGGUGGAGCAUGUGGUUUAAUUCGAUGCAACGCGAAGAACCUUACCUACUCUUGACAUACUAGACACUUUUCAGAGAUGAAUUGGUACCUUCGGGGAUCUAGAUACAGGUGCUGCAUGGCUGUCGUCAGCUCGUGUCGUGAGAUGUUGGGUUAAGUCCCGCAACGAGCGCAACCCUUAUUUUUAGUUGCCUUUUGGAACUCUAAAAAGACUGCCGGUUAUAAACCGGAGGAAGGCGGGGAUGACGUCAAGUCAGCAUGCCCCUUACACCCUGGGCUACACACGUGCUACAAUGGGCGAGACAAUGAGCUGCAAAUCUGCGAAGAUUAGCUAAUCUAUAAACUCGUUCUAAGUUCGGAUUGCAGGCUGCAACUCGCCUGCAUGAAGUUGGAAUCGCUAGUAAUCGCUGGUCAGCUACACAGCGGUGAAUUCGUUCCCGGGCCUUGUACACACCGCCCGUCACACCAUGGAAGCUGGUUAUGCCCGAAGUCGUUACUCUAACCUUUUGGAGGAGGACGCCUAAGGUAGAAUUAGUGACUGGGGUGAAGUCGUAACAAGGUAACCGUACUGGAAGGUGCGGUUGGAUCACCUCCUU